This is a long non-coding RNA of Cygnus olor (mute swan), 1448 nucleotides long. RefSeq lists it as uncharacterized. Lineage: Eukaryota; Metazoa; Chordata; Aves; Anseriformes; Anatidae. The record is from RefSeq and is a predicted model, not a curated record. The transcript is spliced from 2 exons.
UUCUUAAUUUACUUUAACUGUUAAUCUCUUGAAAGAUUUAUGUAGGUGCUAGUAGAAGCAUCAGCUGAAUAACCUAUUGUUAGCAGGAGGAGAAGCAAAACUGCAGAUGUCAGAUGCCACGGCACAUCUCUGUGGUCUGUAUGGGGUUCAUUACAAAAACCUGAUGAUGCUAAUGAUGUAAGUCUUACUGGAACCUUUUAGAGCUUUUAGCUCUCAAUAAAAACUUCACCUGUUUUAGAGGCUAAAUUUUAGAGGAUAAUUUUACUGACAGGCCUAGGAUGUAGAAACAUGGAGAAAUGAAGGCUGAAAUAGGAACAGGUUCUGUGAAUCGACAUUGAACGUGUCUGUGGAGGUCUCAGGACUGGAACAUCCAACGGAGUGGACAGAUGGACAGACUCGGGGAAGAAAAUGGAGAAUUCAGCCAGCGUGUUUACCCAAGCUAUUACGCUGGCUUAACCGUUCCAUGAUGAAGUUCCAUUUCAGCACUGAGCUCUCCAGGCUGCGGAGAUAAAAAUGAUCAAUUGGAAUUGGUUUUGUCCUCCUGUUUUCACAUUCAGGUUUCACAGCACUGGAUCGGUGGCUGCCACCGUUUCUUCCUGAAAAACAGGCUGACCCUGAACCUUUCCCUGGACGUGGGCAGCUGCUCCAGCUAUCCAUAAACCCAAGGUUUUUUCCACUGUUGAGAAAUGUCGCAGUGGCUCGGCGUUACGACCGUGUCUCAGAAUGGGAAGGCAGAGUUAACUAAAUUUAAAGCAUUUGCUCCAUCACAGAGCAAUCCUGCCUGGUGCUCCUGCUUUCCAGAGGGUGUCCAACCCCGUCCUCUGCAGAGCUUGCCUUGGGCUGAUCCAGCUGAUGGCUUACGUUGGGGGGACGUGCAAGGCUGAUGUUGCGCAGGCAAUUAAAAUCUAUGAAUUAGAUUAAAACCCAAAUGUUAGCUUGCUCUGAUGCGAUUCUUUUUUUGUUUUCUUUUGGUUGAGAUGCUCUUUGGAGAUAAAAGCUAGAAUCAGACUGCUGAUCUGCAGCUGCUUGGGGCUUAGCUUUGAGGUUUCUGUAUUUUGCUGCUCUUACCUCUUGACCUGCUUGAUUCAUUUUGUGUCUGAAGUUCUGUCCUUUUUAUUCCUGACUUUCCUGUUUAUAAUACACACAUCUGUACUGUUUGAUAGCUGUGAAAUAACUGUGCUUCAUUUCUUGCUUUGAGACUUUAUUUUUAUUUUUUUUUUAUUUAGAGCUGAGCUUGACAAAGAAGGACGAGGCCAGGAGCGGUUACAAAGGGGCAUGGUAUUUUUACUGUAAUACCAGGGUAUCGAUUGUUGACUUAUUGGUAGGCUUAAUGCACAGCCAUUUCCUUCGUGUCUGAAUGUCCAUUAAAACGCUGGCGUGGUGCCAGAGCGUUGAAAUCCUGCAUUUUAUGAUAUAAUCUGGCUCUCCAAAAGUACUAAUGUGGUUUG